UAUCUCUGUAGAGUCUGCAUAUCAAUAAGCGGAGGAAAAGAAACUAACAAGGAUUCCCUUAGUAACGGCGAGUGAAGCGGGAAGAGCUCAAAUUUGAAAUCUUCAAGGUUCUACCUUGACGAAUUGUAGUUUAAAGAAGUGUUUUCUGUUAGAUAGUUAGGCUAAAAGUUCCUUGGAAUAGGACAUCAUAGAGGGUGAGAAUCCCGUAUUUGGUUAUUCAUUCUAGCUGUGUGAUACACUUUCAAAGAGUCGGAUUGUUUGGGAAUGCAGUCCAAAAUGGGUGGUAAAUUUCAUCUAAAGCUAAAUAUUGGCGAGAGACCGAUAGCGAACAAGUACCGUGAGGGAAAGAUGAAAAGAACUUUGAAAAGAGAGUUAAACAGUACGUGAAAUUGUCAAAAGGGAAGCGUUUGACACCAGUGUUGUUUUUCUCGAAAAUCAAUUACAAAUGGCUUGAUUUUGUGUUGUAUUGACCUUAAUCAGCUUUCUGCACUUUUUUCAUGUCUUUCUUAAUGCACUUUUCGUUAACAAGUCAACAUCAAGUUUCUUUUGUUGUAAAAGAGUCAUUCGGAAGGUGGCUUUCUUUUCGGAGAAAGUGUUUAUAGCCCUAUGACUUCCUAGCAAUCGGAGAGAUUGAGGUCUGCAGCGUAGAUCCUUCUGGAUUAGAUACAUUUGUGCUAAGUUGUAAGCGUUUCAUAGACAACUUGUUGACUAUAUUUAGUCCUGUCGGCUUACUCGCUUAUGCUAAUUUUACCUACGCUUAGGAUGUUGACUGAUAUGUAGUCGUA
This 785-nucleotide ribosomal RNA is filed under the name uncultured Neocallimastigales. RNAcentral's name for it is "partial large subunit ribosomal RNA". It matches the Rfam family "Eukaryotic large subunit ribosomal RNA", at positions 24 to 644 of the family's 3401-position model. Lineage: Eukaryota; Fungi; Neocallimastigomycota; Neocallimastigomycetes; Neocallimastigales. The record is from RNAcentral.